This 1003-nucleotide long non-coding RNA is filed under the name Anser brachyrhynchus (Pink-footed goose). RNAcentral describes it as "lncRNA (ENSABRG00000003960.1)". Lineage: Eukaryota; Metazoa; Chordata; Aves; Anseriformes; Anatidae. The record is from RNAcentral.
GCCAGCUUUGCAAUGUUCUUUUCAGCAGGAAAUUAUUUCAUUUUGAUAUUACAACCUGUCCAAAUUCCAAUAAUUUUAAAGCCUUGAAAUAUACAGAGAUCCAUCAAAAUUAAGAUUACCCUUUUAAAAAGAGGUGUAAUGCAACAGUACUUCACUCUUAAUUGUCUGGUGGGAUGUUUAAUAUGUGGGAGUGUUUGGACCAAUAAGCUCAUGAAUGGCUAAGUAAACGGAACACGAAGCAUAUAAUAUCCAUUGCACUGGCCACAGACCAGCAAAUUAAUGGGUUACACAACAUGUUCCAUCGUCUCAUGACUUCCAGAGAAAGAAGGACCCAGGUGGAGGAACUAUAAAGUCAAGGCAAUCUUGGUUCAUGUCAACCCUGUUUCACAAACUUAACUCUUGUAUUUAUUUCUGCUGUGAGCUUUGGCUGGGUUGUCAGCAUUAUGCAACAUUACUGUGGCAGACUGUUGAGAGACAAUAACUUCAAAGACAGUAAAUCUUUAAAAGGACAGAGGAAAACACUAAUGCUAUACAUGCUGUUUGAGUGUUUAUAGCUUUGCUUUUUUUUUUUUUUAAAUUCUGUUUUGCAGAAAAACUGUUGGGAAUACUUACACAACUGCCAUCCUGCUUUUAAAAAGAAAACGGAUUUCUUAGUUUCUCCUUUCUUGUUUUUCCCCUUUCUUGAUCAAGAGGUAGACAAGUUAUGUUUCUGUCAGGGGCCUGUUUUAAAAGCAUCUGGUGAACUGUGUGGACAGGGGAAUAAAAGGCCAUGAUAAACUACUUAAUACAAAAUAAAAUGUAUAAUUUGCAUGGGGAUGAUUUCCAGCGAGCAGAGUCAUUGCAUGAUGCACAUCUUGUUGCUAAAGAUCAUCAGGUUAUGACAGAUACGAUGCUGUAUGUCUUCACCCUUCUGGAUCAGCAAUGUAUUUGCACUGUGCAAUGGGGGAAAAACAGCCAAAGCAGAGUCAGCUUUGGGGCUCUUAAGCCAAAACAUACAACGUAG